UUGUCAAAGUGACAUAUGGGGACAUUUUUAUGAAAUUUCACCUUACAUAUGAGGACCUGUUGAAAUAUGGGGACAUUUUCCAUGUCCCCAUAUUUCCCGCAAUGCUAUCGUGUUCUAGACCCUCCCAGCAUGUUCCCAGACCAAAAAUCUCUAAAGUCUUCAUUUGUCAAAUUUUCAGAAAAAGUGUGUGAAAGUGUGUUUAAUGUUUUUGCUCACUUUCGAUUUUGCCCCUAGUGGCCAUCUUUGCUAUUAUGACACACACACACACACACUUGUCCUCAUAUGUCAUAUGUCCUCAUAUGUCAUGUGGGUCAGAAACUCACACACUCCAACAUUUUGAAAAACAUAUAAUCAUUACAGCAAUGAACAUACUUUUGAAAUCUAAAUCAAAUAACACAUUUUCAACUGAUCUGAUGAUCUCAACCUUUUUUAUGUUAGUUUUAUCUAUUCAUUUGGUUUAUCUGGAGAGGAUUUGGGCUAGACAAUCAAUAAUAAAGGGAUUAUGGUGAUGAUUUAAUCGGUUUGAUUCAGUAUUUUACUGUAUUGGGCUUUUUUCUAUUCUGUUGUCUAAAAUACAAUGCCACACAAUAAUUACUUUAAAUGUGCCUGAAAAAAAACCUUCAACCUUGAUUGAGACAAAGGCGAUAAUUCAAAUGGAAUUCAAACUACAUACAGUAUUUAAUAUUUUCAAAUGGUUACAAUAGCACAUGAUUUUGGUAUUUUUAUCUUUGGGACAAAUUUUGGAUUCAAUUGGGGAUUGUUUUUGGAGGUAUUCACUUCACAUUGUGUUCAAGAUGGUUACUUCCGCCCACUCUGAAGAGUCUCGGCGUCUGAUUGGUCCAAUUUUCAGUUAGGCGCCGCCUGAUUGGCCGUUGGAUGAUGUCUGAUCCUAACAGAGGGCUAAAUCACUAGUUAAUUAUUUUCCUCAUGGAAGUUAUACAGCUCACGUAUCACACUUAAUAUUGAAUAUAUAUAAAAAGGGUUUUCCAAAAGGACCAUUUAUAAUCAAAAUACAAAACUUCACACACGAUUUUGAGCACAACAGAGCGCUCAGUGAACAUCACUUCCGGGACCUGCAUCACCGGAGGGGGACAUCUAUCUUGGCCACAAACCAUCUUUGACAGUCUUCGACAGCAUGGUUGAAUCAGGUGAGCAUAAAAUGGAGUUUAACGUAAUUAAAUAGACCAAUGUUUUUUAACAUAGGAAAAUAGUUCAUUGUAAACAACAGUUAAAUGUUUGUUGUUAUUAAUUGCAAUCAGAUUUGAUUUUAUGAGGUCAAAUUAAGCAUUUCAAUUCUGGGCCAAGGCCAAGGCAUUUAAAUUUUUUUUUUUAAAGUUGCAUGGAAGAUUAUAAGUAGCAGUGAUUGUCACACACACACUAGGUGUGGUGAAAUUAUUCUCUGCAUUUGACCCAUCACCCUUGAUCACUAUGCUAGUAAACCUUUUCUUAAUUUUAAACAAGACAGACUAGAGUUCUUCAAAUUGUUUAUACUUUUUCUCAAAUACAAAUAUUUCAAGCUGAUAAGCCCUGUGGAGUAGGCAUGUUACUGAUAUUGUUACAUUAGUACUUUGUUUGAGAAGCUUCAUGUCUGCACUGAUCCUAAAUUUAACAGUUUUUGAAGGGUUUGGUUCUUUGUUUUAUUUCUGUGUCACUGACUUUUUUCAUUUUUAUGUGUGGAUUUGUUAGGCGCAUCAACACAUGAUAUAGACAUCGUGCCCAAAAGAAGAGCGAGACGUAAUCCUGAGGCUGAAGCUACCGCGUUUAUUUGAUCUGGAUGUGACAAGUCUUGUUUUAAGGCCCAGUGGAUCAAUGAUUGGAAAGACACCAACUGUUGAUGUUCUAUCUCAACAUUCUCCAGACUCAUGUGACCGAUAAACCGACUUCAUCCCUCCAACAGGUUAUUACUUGACUAUUUUACUAUCCACCCAUCCAUCCAUUUUCUACUACCUGUCCCUUUUUUGGGUUGGCGGGGUGUGCUUGAGCCUAUCUGAGCUGCAUUCGGGCGGAAGGCGGAGUACACCCUGGACAAGUCGCCACCUCAUUACACGGCCAACACAAAUAGACAACAUUUACACUCACAUUCACACACUAGGGCCAAUUUAGUGUUGCCAAUCAACCUAUCCCCAGGUGCAUGUCUUUGGAGGUAAGAUGAAGCCGGAGUACCCGGAGGGAACCCACGCAGUCACGGGGAGAACAUGCAAACUCCACACAGAAAGAUCACGAGCCCAGGAUUUAACUCAGGACUACUCAGGACCUUCGAUUUGUGACGCACAUGCACUUACCGCGGUCCCACCGUGCUGCCCUAUAUCUGCUAAAAACUUGACACAACCUAUACUUCAAAAGACAUUUAAUCCUUUUAACCUCUCACAGAUCAGUUUAUAUGACAACAUUUUUUAAGCGUACAUCCAUGUUAGUCUGUGGAAUUUACAACUCAUGUUUAGCAAAACAGGAGAUGUUACAGGUCAGCAACAUGAAUUCUAUAUGUGAUCACUUGUCAUGUACUCAUAUUGUUUGAACUAAAAAAGACUUCAGUGUGUUUCAUAUAAGGUCCUCAUAUUUUUCUGAACCACAUUAGUGUGUGUUACAAUGUUUAAUUCAAAGCUUUAAAAUGAGUGUUUCAAUCCAGGUCCUCAUAUUUUCUGAACCACAUUUUAGUGAAUGUUACAUUCUUAAAUAAUAGUCUAAGAGCUAAAACGCUAUAAUAAUCUUUACUGUUUAUGUAGAAUUAUAUGCUCAGAAUAUUAUCAACCAAAAGUGGUUGUUAAUGUUAUAAUUAAUUAGUUCUGACAUUAUAUUUUUGUGUUUUGUUGCAGACACCAACUGUUGGGGUUCUAUCUCAACAUUUUCCAGAUUCAGAUGUGAGCGAUAAACCGACUUCAUCCCUCCAACAGAAACCAACUGUUGAGGUUCCAUCUCAACAUUCUCCAGAUUCAGAUGUGAGCCAUUAACUGACUUCAUCCCUCCAACAGAAACCAACUGUUGAGGUUCUAUCUCAACAUUCUCUAGAUUCAGAUGACAGCCAUAAACCGACUUCAUCCCUCCAACAGAUUGACAGCAGGACAAAUCGCUGGAAGUGGGUAUGUCUCAAGCUUCUUCCACUUGGUCCACUCCAAAGCGGGCUGCAAAGGGGAAGAAGUGGAAGCAGUUGAAUGACACAUGUUGCAUUUUGUAACUGGCAACAAAGUACCAGGUAAAAAAGAUUGUGAAGCCUGCCUCCAUAAAGAACUAGUAGCUCUACAGGACAGAGAUUGGCUUGCCAUCAAGUACUACAUCCAUAACAGAAUUAUAUUAAAAAAAGGGGAAAAAAAUGUUUUCCCACAUCUUCUGUGGUAGUUUGAGUAUGUUACCAGCAAUUAAAAAAGCAAAAUAAA
Nerophis ophidion (straightnose pipefish) is the source of this 3371-nucleotide long non-coding RNA. RefSeq lists it as uncharacterized. NCBI's taxonomy places the organism in Eukaryota, Metazoa, Chordata, Actinopteri, Syngnathiformes, Syngnathidae. The transcript has 6 exons. The record is from RefSeq and is a predicted model, not a curated record.